CCCUGAUCGGGGUGGGAGACCGUGUCAGGUGGGCAGUUUGACUGGGGCGGUCGCCUCCCAAAGAGUAACGGAGGCGCCCAAAGGUUCCCUCAGAAUGGUUGGAAAUCAUUCGAAGAGUGUAAAGGCAGAAGGGAGCUUGACUGCGAGACCUACAAGUCGAGCAGGGACGAAAGUCGGGCUUAGUGAUCCGGUGGUUCCGCAUGGAAGGGCCAUCGCUCAACGGAUAAAAGCUACCCCGGGGAUAACAGGCUUAUCUCCCCCAAGAGUCCACAUCGACGGGGAGGUUUGGCACCUCGAUGUCGGCUCAUCGCAUCCUGGGGCUGUAGUCGGUCCCAAGGGUUGGGCUGUUCGCCCAUUAAAGCGGUACGCGAGCUGGGUUCAGAACGUCGUGAGACAGUUCGGUCCCUAUCCGUCGCGGGCGCAGGAAAUUUGAGAGGAGCUGUCCUUAGUACGAGAGGACCGGGAUGGACGCACCGCUGGUGUACCAGUUGUCCUGCCAAGGGCACCGCUGGGUAGCUAUGUGCGGAAGGGAUAAGCGCUGAAAGCAUCUAAGCGUGAAGCCCCCCUCAAGAUGAGAUUUCCCAUUGCAUAAGCAAGUAAGAUCCCUCGAAGAUGACGAGGUAGAUAGGUCCGAGGUGGAAGCGUGGCGACACGUGCAGCUGACGGAUACUAAUCGAUCGAGGACUUAACCAAU
This 694-nucleotide ribosomal RNA is filed under the name Anoxybacillus sp. UARK-01. Its description in RNAcentral is "bacterial LSU rRNA". It matches the Rfam family "Bacterial large subunit ribosomal RNA", at positions 2233 to 2925 of the family's 2925-position model. The record is from RNAcentral. Lineage: Bacteria; Bacillati; Bacillota; Bacilli; Caryophanales; Anoxybacillaceae.